GGAAAUGAAUCCUUAAAUCAAAUAAUAUCAACAAAGGCCCCGGAAAGGAAACACUUCGGAGGCAGUUCUUCACUGAAUUUCCGAGUGACAUCGGGUAUACCACAAAAGAAUGUCGGAAGGAAAUAUUUAUUAGAGAGCACAAUGCUUACAUUGUCCAGAUCGCGGCAUUAUAUGGAGAAGAAUGUUUUGAACUCUACAUCUUACCGCUGAAGGAACUAAAACCCAAUGGCAUCAAAAGCAACCCAUCUUACUGUACAAAGUAAUAAAUUGUAUCACAGAAACGAAACACUGACGAAAGCAGAUAUUUUAAAGACAGCCAGAUUACUACGAGUCUGGUGCCGUACUACUUUUGUUAAUGGUUACGUUCCCACUAGUAGGACACUAAGUAGC
This is a long non-coding RNA of Mercenaria mercenaria, 390 nucleotides long. RefSeq lists it as uncharacterized. The record is from RefSeq and is a predicted model, not a curated record. The transcript has 3 exons. NCBI's taxonomy places the organism in Eukaryota, Metazoa, Mollusca, Bivalvia, Venerida, Veneridae.